GUGGCGGACGGGUGAGUAACGCGUGGGUAACCUGCCUUGUACUGGGGGACGAACAGUUGGAAACGACUGCUAAUACCGCAUAAGCGCACAGCCUCGCAUGAAGCAGUGUGAAAAAACUCCGGUGGUACAAGAUGGACCCGCGUCUGAUUAGCUGGUUGGUGAGGUAACGGCCCACCAAGGCAACGAUCAGUAGCCGGCCUGAGAGGGUGAACGGCCACAUUGGGACUGAGACACGGCCCAAACUCCUACGGGAGGCAGCAUG
RNAcentral lists this ribosomal RNA (262 nucleotides) under uncultured bacterium. Its description in RNAcentral is "partial 16S ribosomal RNA". It matches the Rfam family "Bacterial small subunit ribosomal RNA", at positions 95 to 353 of the family's 1533-position model. The record is from RNAcentral.